Molecule: long non-coding RNA, 979 nt
Organism: Rhipicephalus microplus (southern cattle tick)
Lineage: Eukaryota; Metazoa; Arthropoda; Arachnida; Ixodida; Ixodidae
Source: RefSeq, a predicted model, not a curated record
CUCUGAGCAUAUUAAUAAAAGCACACCAAAACUUACAGAAAAAACUGAUUUUAUUUUGUGAAUGAAUUUAACAGCCCCCAUAUCUCCAAUAAACAAGGAAAAAAAACAAUAAGGAGAUGAGGGUCUAAAGGGACAAUGUGAUGGCUCUAUGACUGAACGGUCUGCUCUGAAAUUGUGUACCAUGUGCACAGCUCCAUCAAGCACUCCAUCCAACUGUAUGCUUUAUACAAGACUCGCAUUUGCAGCUCAUUAUCAUUUUACAAAGUUUACAUGAACAGUGGACACACCUAAUGGAAACAGCCUGCUCAGAAUCCACAGUGAAGUCAAAAUGCACCACACAUUCAAAUUAUUCAAAAAGAAAACAUAACAUAGAUGCUUCAGCCAGAGCCCACUUCUUCAUGAAAAAGCAGAAUGUGCAGCAAUGGUAACAAAAUACUCGAGAAAUACAGCCGCCAGCUCCUGAGGUCGUGUGCUUCUGUCAACUGUAUGGAAGCAAUCAACAAAGUUGCUUGCCACACACUACUCAAAAAGCAAUGCUUCUAAUCCUGCUCUAGCAGAAACUGAACACUAAUGCUAAAGGGUGAACACAAUUGCAGACACGGGGCAACCUGCAUGCACGGUCCAUAACGAAAUCUGUAAAACUGUACACACACACCCACACGCACAUUGCAGGGAGUAUAAUCGGUGUGAAUGCACGGGUGGCGUCAGUCAGUCGGUCAAUAAAGAACUUUGCAGAAAAUAUUUGACCCACUGUACAUAUUGUAUGGAUCCAAAGGGUCACCAAUCUUGUUAUUGGGAACAUCAACAAUACAAAGCUACCAAUGCACAUGUACACGAGGACUUGAAAGAAAAGUUACAUGCAAAACAGAUCUUCCACAACACGUAAAACAGAGAAAAAAAAAAAGCAGGAAGGAUCUAACAUUAUGACAUUCACUGUGGACUGUGAGCAAACUUCUCUUAGGAGAGAUUAAAAAAAAAA